GUAGCUCAGUGGAUAGAGCAGGCGCCUUCUAAGCGCUUGGCCGCAGGUUCGAGUCCUGCC
Molecule: transfer RNA, 60 nt
Filed under: Streptomyces sp. NRRL F-6602
Lineage: Bacteria; Bacillati; Actinomycetota; Actinomycetes; Kitasatosporales; Streptomycetaceae
Description: tRNA-Arg
Rfam family: tRNA
About the family: Transfer RNA (tRNA) molecules are approximately 80 nucleotides in length. Their secondary structure includes four short double-helical elements and three loops (D, anti-codon, and T loops).
Source: RNAcentral